RNAcentral lists this ribosomal RNA (482 nucleotides) under uncultured Flavobacteriaceae bacterium. Its description in RNAcentral is "bacterial SSU rRNA". It matches the Rfam family "Bacterial small subunit ribosomal RNA", at positions 28 to 505 of the family's 1533-position model. The record is from RNAcentral. Lineage: Bacteria; Pseudomonadati; Bacteroidota; Flavobacteriia; Flavobacteriales; Flavobacteriaceae.
GAUGAACGCUAGCGGCAGGCUUAACACAUGCAAGUCGAGGGGUAACAUUGGAGCUUGCUUCAGAUGACGACCGGCGCACGGGUGCGUAACGCGUAUAGAAUCUACCUAUUACUGAGGGAUAGCCCAGAGAAAUUUGGAUUAAUACCUCAUGGUAUUAUUGACUGGCAUCGGUUAAUAAUUAAAGAUUUAUUGGUAAUAGAUGACUAUGCGUCUUAUUAGCUAGUUGGUAAGGUAACGGCUUACCAAGGCAUCGAUAAGUAGGGGUCCUGAGAGGGAGAUCCCCCACACUGGUACUGAGACACGGACCAGACUCCUACGGGAGGCAGCAGUGAGGAAUAUUGGACAAUGGAGGCAACUCUGAUCCAGCCAUGCCGCGUGCAGGAAGACUGCCCUAUGGGUUGUAAACUGCUUUUAUAUAGGAAGAAACAUUGCUACGAGUAGUGAUUUGACGGUACUAUAAGAAUAAGGAUCGGCUAACUCCG